CAUUUCGUGAUUUAAAUGACCAUUUUCAACGGCUUGAAGGAAAGCUUCUGUGGAAAAAGGGGAAUUCGUAGUAUCUGGAACAAUGCUUUCAAAUAAGGUCUCUGUCAGAUUGUUUAUAAGUAUGUCACUACGAUAUUGACUCUUCCAAAAAUCAAAAUUUUCUUCUUUUAAACGUAAAUCCACAUGAUCGAAAUUGUAGUCCCAAAUAUCAAGGUUUUGACUUUGAGCUUUCUGCAAGAUAUCGCUCAAAUUAUUUUCUUCUUCCAAAUGCAAACGGACUACUAUUUCUUCGUUAUAAUCAGGAAUUUUUUCGGCCCAAAUUAACUGUUCUUCUGAUAUGGCCGCAGUCUCGCCAUUAAACCCAACGUAACUGGUCAUCCAAGAUCGAAUAUCUGAAUUCCAUUUCACUCCAAGUUCUCUAGAACUUUUUCCGUAGCAAAGGAAUAAUACAAAUACGAUCUGAGAAGCCAAAAGGAUAAAUACUAAAGACUUUAGAGAUUUAUUGUAAGCCAUGAGUUAGAAAGAGCAGUCUUCAGUGACAUGGAAAAAGGAGAUAUAGAAUAAUUAAGAUAUUCCCUUUAGAAAAGCGUCGAAAUAAAUAAAUUAAGUAACGCUUGUUCGGUAUAAUUAAUAAGAAGAAUAUAGCUUGGCGCUUCGCCCAGCUUUGAUUAUCUACGUAAGGGACGACAACAGUUUAACGCUGAAAUUAGCUACUACUCAACGAAAUUUAACCUCUUCCCUAAUCAAACGCUAUAACACUUUACAUCGGUGAAAUCAGGUCUCACUAUUGCCUAUAAAUACAAACAUGGAUCGCACAUUAAGAAUAUACUAAAUU
This is a non-coding RNA of Schizosaccharomyces pombe (fission yeast), 835 nucleotides long. Lineage: Eukaryota; Fungi; Ascomycota; Schizosaccharomycetes; Schizosaccharomycetales; Schizosaccharomycetaceae. The record is from the annotation of a GenBank genome assembly.